Molecule: long non-coding RNA, 489 nt
Filed under: Nicotiana benthamiana
Lineage: Eukaryota; Viridiplantae; Streptophyta; Magnoliopsida; Solanales; Solanaceae
Description: long non-coding RNA (NBEN_LNC033739)
Source: RNAcentral
GCGAAUUCCCUCCACUAGUAUCACAGUUUUGGAGUUUGCAGACUUUAAUCCUUCAUCUGUAUUCUAGAAGCUCAACUUUGCCUUGGGAGAUUUGGACGAUGCCAAACCUCAGACACCUCCAUGUUAAACCAAGUAUCUGUUUGCCGAGCCCAACCAAAGUAGAAUGUAAUAGAUACGAUUCCUUGGUUCUAAAUAACCUACAAACACUUGCCAAUAUUAUCUCCAUGUUAAACCAAGCAUCUGUUUGCCGAGCCCAACCAAAGUAGAAUGUAAUAGAUACAGUUCCUUGGUUCUAAAUAACCUACAAACACUUGCCAAUAUUACCCUUGCAGAUUGUAAAAAGGAUGUCUUCUUAAGCACUCCUAAGUUAAAGAAAUUGGGGAUAUGUGAAUCGAUCGAGUAUACUUACCCAGUUCAAAUUCCCUGGAGUGAUUUUCUUUACACUUCUGAAAAACUCUGGCCUUAUGCUAGCGAUACAAUUUCAGACUU